Molecule: long non-coding RNA, 4881 nt
Filed under: Heterocephalus glaber (naked mole-rat)
Lineage: Eukaryota; Metazoa; Chordata; Mammalia; Rodentia; Bathyergidae
Description: lncRNA (ENSHGLG00100041963.1)
Source: RNAcentral
GUGAAGAGGAGGCGGAGGAGGAGGAGGGAUCGAGGGGAGGAGAGCAAAGAGGGUGGGGAGGGGACGGCGAAGGGGAGGGGAGCGCGCCGCCGGACAGACAAUGCGCGCCGCGCAGCCUGCGGGCUUGGGCCAGGCCCCUCGUCUCUACGUCAGGGAGCGGGGACGAGCGCCCCCAGGGGGCGCCCAGCCCGGGGACGCCGAGGAGGGGCGGAAGCGACAGAAUGCCCAACCUGACUGGCGACCUAGAACCAGCCAGGCGCCCCCGGGUCCAGGCACACUCGCGUGCGCGCGCGCUCACACACCCGGCGAAGGGGGGGGCGCCUGGGCGCUGGGGGUGCACAGCCCGGCGCGUGGCAGGAGCGCGCCCUAAAAUGAGGGGCGUAAGUGCUUUGCCCCGCGGCCCCUUUUCUUCUCUCCAGUACGUGAGCCGUUUGGCUCUGCAGCGGUGUCUAACCGACCUUAAACUUUCCGCGACCCUAUUUCGGGAUGCUAGGGCUCAGGUCGGGGAGAGAAGGAGCCCAGGUCCCCACUCCACACCUCUCCCUGGCUCUUAAGAUACUCUCUAACUCCUCGGGAGGAUCGCAGUACCCAGCCGACCUUUGCGAACGUUUAACUCGGGGUUGCCCUGUGCAGAAAGCUUAGUCUGCGAGGUGCGCGAACCGGCCAGGGGUUUCCCCCACCAGUGGUGCCUGGGGACACCGUGCGUUUUGCCCUCGCGUGUACCGCGACUUUCCCGGGACCUCAGUUGGGGAAGGGAGAGGCGCCUGGGCAGAGCUGAACUGGGGUAGGGAGGUUCGUGGUAAAGCGGGGCUCGCAGGGACGGCGAGGGCUCUUCGCAAGCAGGGUUUCCUGGUCCUGGAACUCACUUUUAUGACGUCGCUCCUCGCCAGCCCCCGGCCCCGCGCGGGUCCCAGUCGCAGCGAGUUGGGAAAGGGUAAAGGUGGAAAACUCCGGAAUGGAGGGAAGACCGGCCACGGAGCCGGAUCCAGGGCUUUAAAUUUUAACCCGAGUUCGAUCGACUGCAGCCCCCAGAAAGGUUCCCACCGCGGCGUCCAAGGUUUCGCAGCGCUUCGGUCCCGGUCCCGUGGCGAGUUGGACCAAGUGUUGAAACGGACUGCAUUUUGCAAAGCUCGUGUGUAAGCAGGCCGCGAAGUCUGCAGCCGGCGGUGCCUUCCUGGGGUCGCGGGAGAAGGCGAAGGCGAAGCUUGCGACUCGCACCCGAUAAGAUUCCGCCGGCGCCGGCCCCUGCCCGCGGCCUGCUCGCCAGACACCGCGACCUGGGGGGAACACUGGGGUCCUGGGCCCCCCCGCCUGGGAAGCCCAGGCAAGGGUUCCCAAGGAGCUAGAACUCCAAGUCGGAGCAGGGACCCUGAAACGUCCCUGCUGUAAUUCACAGAAAAAAACAAACCGAGGUCAGGGGUGCCAAAUUACCGUCCCUUUUUGAUUAUUUAUACACAAGUAAUAAAGACAAAGACAAACCACCCCGACCUCUGGCCUGGUGAUGCACGCCUGUAAUCCCAGCACUCUGGGAGGCUGAGCCAGGAGGAUCUCCAUGAGUUCCAGGCCAGUCUGGGAUUAGUGAGUCCAUGUCUAGCCUGAAAUACAUAGUAAGACCCUAUAUCAAAAAAAAAAAAAAAAAAUUCACCCCUAGCUGCCUGCCCCCGCCUGUGGUCUUGCCCUGGCCUGUGCCAUCCCAUUCCAUUAGGGUUUGAACACAGGCGACCUGGAAGGUGGGCAAAGCUGUGUAGACCGAGGCCAUCCCGGCAGCAGGUCUGGGCCAGGACUAACUGCGCAGGUGCGAGGCCGAGGAGCACUCAGCCCCCGGACUGGCUCGCUUGGGAAGCCGGGUCUUCAUCAUCCGUGGCCAGUCCCGCCUGGCAUCGCCACCUCGCCUGGGCAGCAGCUGGAGCAUCCUUCGCUCCCCCAAAGCGGGCAUUCGGCUUGGGGAGCAGCUCUGAGGAGGAGGGGCAGGAAUUGCUAAAAGGAAGCAGAAAAGUAGCAAAAAGAGGGCUUCUGAAGAUUUGCUAAAUUACAAGUCCCCUCCGUGAGUCAACUGAAGGGGAAAGAAAGUGCCAAAGUCUCAUCACUCAGGAGGCUGAGGCAGGAGGAUCAAAGUGAAUUUGAGGCCAGUCUGGGCUACAGAGCAAGACACUGUCUCAACAACCAAAAAUAUGAAUAAAGUAAAAGAAGAAAGUGCCCAAGAAAAUGUAAAAGUCACUACAUCCAACACUCAGAAGCAUGCCCUUUCCAUUCAGCUGUGUUGCAAACACUCAGGACGCAGGCGCCUCUGGCACCCACUGUGCAGCCCCUCAGCUUCCUGCCAGCCUCAGACUCCACUGGACCCUUGGCGUCCGCACUGCAGUGGAGACCGAGGAGGGAGCUGCUGGUUCCCAAGUGUCUCCCUCUAGAAGAUGGCAGCUCCACCGCCGCCAGCUUCCAGGGGGAGGAGGGGAGACGCCAGUCUCUUCUGUCUCUAGAAAACCGCAAAAUUCCAGUUGUCUUCCGGGAUUUAUAGGAGCCCCUGGGCAGCUCGGACACUGGGCGGCUGGCCUGGGUCUGACAGCACCCUCUUCCUGCUUCCAUGGGCAGCAAGCUGCCAGAUCUGUCUAUGCCACUUCCCUGGUUGCUGAGAGGAUUCAAAGACAGCUUAGCUGGAAGUGCUCACCAUACCUGGCACAUUCGUCAAGCACUACAUAAGGACAGACUAUUAUUACUACUGAGCCUGAGCUGGGUGGUGGUACAUACCUGUGAUCUCAGCACGCAGGAGGCUGAGGCAGAGGGAUCUCCAAGAAUUCAAAGUGAACCUGGACUACAUAGAAGAUACUGUCUCAAGAAAACGACUACUAAUAGAAGUUGAAGGCUUUCCUGUCCCUGCAUUGUGGUAGGAAAGAGAGAGGGGAGGCAAAGAGGGCCUUUGCUUUGACCCUGUAAAGGGGGAGCUUCCUGUCACCCCCGACACAACCCCCGCAGAUGCUGGGAGCCUCAGGCACCUUCCACAGGACGCCAUGACUCAGGGGUCCCAGAAACACACACGCACCCUGCACUCCUUCCUACAGAAGAGAGGAAGGCGCUCACAGACAGCACUGUGCAGGGCGGCCCUGAGGGCUGGCGCCAGAUACUGGAGGGGGCAGUGAUUAGUGUCCUGGCCAUCUUUUUGUUUUUGAGACAGGGUCUCACUAUGUAGCCCAGGCUGGCCUCGAACUCACAACAAUCCUCCUGCCUCAGCCUCCAAGUUCUGGGAUUACAGGCAAGUGUCACCAUGCCCAGCUAUUGUUUUUUGAGACAGGGUCUCACUAUGUAGUUCAGGCUGGCCUCAAACUCCCAGCCAUCCUCCUGCCUCAGCCUCCAGACUGCUAGGAUUACAGGUGCGCAACACGAAGCCAGCUCUGGCUAUCUAAUAUGCAGGAAUUCAUUCACACAUUCGUUCACUCAUUCAUUCACAGGGCUAAGACGCAACCCAGGGGCUCACACAUGCUGGGCAAGACCUGUGCCACUGAGCCACUCUAUCUACUAAACAGGAAAAGCCAGGCUGCUCUAGGCAUUGUCCAUCUCAUGUUCUUUCUGAUUCUCCUCCUCCUCCUUCCAGCCUGUCUAAACCUCAAUAAUGAACAUAUUUUUUAAAAUCUGUGAACCUAACAAAGACUACUGUUCUUUGAUAAUAAAAUGAACAGGGAAGCCAGGCGUGAUGGUGCAUGCCUGUUGUCCCACCACUCAGGAGGCUGAGGCAGGAGGAUCGCCGAGAGCUGGAGGCCAGCCUUGGCUACACAGAAAGACCCUGUUUCAAGAAAAAAAACAAAACACAACAUGACAAGGAAAAGAGAUUUGCUUCUCAGAAGCAAGGUAUGGAGGGAACAUAAUUCUUCUCUCUGCAGGUUUUCUGCAGGGUGCGUGCCCAGAGCUUGUUUUCCCUGCCCGUCCUUUGAUUUACCGAGCGCUGUCAUCCCUGCUCUUUACAUGCACAGUCACGCAUGGAAACCUGAUAAAGCUCAAGAUCCGAAUGAUUUGUGCUUAUGCAGAUUUAGCGCCCUCCUGCCCCACUCUGGCCACCAACCCCAGGCUGCUGUACCCAGGACAGACCUCUGGGCCAGCACAGCCAGAGGGCGGGUCACGGGGCAGCGAGUGUGGCCACAGCCAGCUCCAGCUUCCUCCCGGGCACACACUGUCAGCAUCCUCUGUGCCAACUCUCAGCUAACGGCCAGUCUGCAGCCUGCCUGGGGAGGCGACACCGUCAGUACCAGAGAGGAUAGCUGUGUUACCUGUCUGCAGGUCCCAGCCACCUCUGCCUGAGGGCUGAAGGGAGACUUCACAGAUAUCAAAUCCCUCUUUUCUGGCUACUCCUAAGCCAGCUUACGACUCUGUUUAUAAUACCACACAUUAAAGGCAUGUGGCUGUCCAACAAAAACAGUGUGAGUGUCUCACAAUUCUUCAGGCUGGCGACACACAGCCUGUGCCCCGCCGCGUCCUCCAGAAACCGCAGUGUGGACCAGAAACAAAGCUGCGGACCUCUGCGGAGCCCGACCGACCGCCGCGCACGCUGGCUGCCCCUCAGCGCAUGCGCGGGAUUCGGUCCCGGGUGGAAUUGAAAGCCUGGAGUCGGGUGUUUGAAUCCCAGCUAUGGCGCCCGCUGUCUCUAGCUGUGCAUCCUUAUGAAAACCCCUUAACUCCUCCACUUCUCAUGUCCCUCACCUGGAAAGCGUGGUGGCGGUAAAUGCACUGAUUGCACAGGAUUGUUACGGAAGCCUAAAUGGGUUCAUAUGAAUAACAUCCUUCAUGCCCAGUGUGAGCACACACCUGUCACCCACUCGGGAAGCUGAGGCAGGACAAUCACUAUGAGUUUGAAGCCAACCUGGAUACAUAGGGGGUUCAAGGCUAGCCUGAAAC